GAGGUUGUGGCUCAGUGGUAGAGCAAUUGCCAAGCACACGUGUGGACCUGGGUUUGAUUCUCAGCACCCUCA
Molecule: transfer RNA, 72 nt
Filed under: Ictidomys tridecemlineatus (thirteen-lined ground squirrel)
Lineage: Eukaryota; Metazoa; Chordata; Mammalia; Rodentia; Sciuridae
Description: Spermophilus tridecemlineatus (thirteen-lined ground squirrel) tRNA
Rfam family: tRNA
About the family: Transfer RNA (tRNA) molecules are approximately 80 nucleotides in length. Their secondary structure includes four short double-helical elements and three loops (D, anti-codon, and T loops).
Source: Rfam by way of RNAcentral